CAGGUGCUGCAUGGCUGUCGUCAGCUCGUGUCGUGAGAAUGUUCGGGUUAAGUCCCGUAACGAGCGCAACCCUUGUCCUUAGUUACCAGCACGUUAUGGUGGGCACUCUAAGGAGACUGCCGGUGACAACGGAGGAAGGUGGGGAUGACGUCAAGUCAUCAUGGCCCUUACGGCCUGGGCUACACACGUGCUACAAUGGUCGGUACAAAGGGUUGCCAAGCCGCGAGGUGGAGCUAAUCCCAUAAAACCGAUCGUAGUCCGGAUCGCAGUCUGCAACUCGACUGCGUGAAGUCGGAAUCGCUAGUAAUCGUGAAUCAGAAUGUCACGGUGAAUACGUUCCCGGGCCUU
Molecule: ribosomal RNA, 348 nt
Filed under: uncultured Pseudomonas sp.
Lineage: Bacteria; Pseudomonadati; Pseudomonadota; Gammaproteobacteria; Pseudomonadales; Pseudomonadaceae
Description: bacterial SSU rRNA
Rfam family: Bacterial small subunit ribosomal RNA
Source: RNAcentral